AUUGUAAUAUACAGAUUUUAAUUGGAUCAUGAUUCAAACAAACUGUUUACAAAAAUUGAAAUUUUGUUUAGGAAAUUAUGAAUAAAAGCAGAUGGUAUCUGAAAUCGCUUCGAAAUAAUAUGGAGGCGUGUGCACAAGAAUGGGUUAUAUGGGAACAAGAUUAGUCAUGACCUGAUAAUUGUUGAAAUUGAGUGACACAUACUUGAAAUUUACAUUAUUUAUUGUCUGCAUUCAUGUCUGAAUAAAAAUUUCCAUAAUUUUAAAAGA
Long non-coding RNA from Phyllostomus discolor (pale spear-nosed bat), 267 nucleotides. RefSeq lists it as uncharacterized. The record is from RefSeq and is a predicted model, not a curated record. The transcript has 2 exons. Lineage: Eukaryota; Metazoa; Chordata; Mammalia; Chiroptera; Phyllostomidae.